RNAcentral lists this ribosomal RNA (495 nucleotides) under uncultured bacterium. RNAcentral's name for it is "partial 16S ribosomal RNA". It matches the Rfam family "Bacterial small subunit ribosomal RNA", at positions 28 to 507 of the family's 1533-position model. The record is from RNAcentral.
GACGAACGCUGGCGGCGUGCCUAAUACAUGCAAGUAGAACGCUGAAGGAGGAGCUUGCUCUUCUGGAUGAGUUGCGAACGGGUGAGUAACGCGUAGGUAACCUGCCUGGUAGCGGGGGAUAACUAUUGGAAACGAUAGCUAAUACCGCAUAAGAGUAGAUGUUGCAUGACAUUUACUUAAAAGGUGCAAUUGCAUCACUACCAGAUGGACCUGCGUUGUAUUUGCUAGUUGGUGGGGUAACGGCUUACCAAGGCGACGAUACAUAGCCGACCUGAGAGGGUGAUCGGCCACACUGGGACUGAGACACGGCCCAGACUCCUACGGGAGGCAGCAGUAGGGAAUCUUCGGCAAUGGACGGAAGUCUGACCGAGCAACGCCGCGUGAGUGAAGAAGGUUUUCGGAUCGUAAAGCUCUGUUGUAAGAGAAGAACGAGUGUGAGAGUGGAAAGUUCACACUGUGACGGUAUCUUACCAGAAAGGGACGGCUAACUACGUG